Molecule: ribosomal RNA, 468 nt
Filed under: uncultured bacterium
Lineage: Bacteria
Description: partial 16S ribosomal RNA
Rfam family: Bacterial small subunit ribosomal RNA
Source: RNAcentral
GACGAACGCUGGCGGCGUGCUUAACACAUGCAAGUCGAACGGAAAGGCCCUGCUUUUGUGGGGUGCUCGAGUGGCGAACGGGUGAGUAACACGUGAGUAACCUGCCCUUGACUUUGGGAUAACUUCAGGAAACUGGGGCUAAUACCGGAUAGGAGCUCCUGCUGCAUGGUGGGGGUUGGAAAGUUUCGGCGGUUGGGGAUGGACUCGCGGCUUAUCAGCUUGUUGGUGGGGUAGUGGCUUACCAAGGCUUUGACGGGUCGCCGGCCUGAGAGGGUGACCGGCCACAUUGGGACUGAGAUACGGCCCAGACUCCUACGGGAGGCAGCAGUGGGGAAUAUUGCACAAUGGGCGGAAGCGUGAUGCAGCAACGCCGCGUGCGGGAUGACGGCCUUCGGGUUGUAAACCGCUUUCGCCUGUGCCGAAGCGUGAGUGACGGUAAUGGGUAAAGAAGCACCGGCUAACUACGUG